AAAGAACAGAAACGUCACCUGAGUGAUCCCACUCCAGACAGGAAAUGACCUCAGAGUGUCCAGAGCUGAUGGAGUAAACAUCCCAGGGGUGUUCAGUGUCAAUGAUAUGAAUCAUGUGACUGACAUCUGCAACACAGAGGUCAGUGGUAAAGGCCACCAGGUUCCUACAGGACCAGGAACAUACCAGCGGGAUUGAGGGACAGUGUGUGCUCUUCUGACGUUUGUCCCACUCGCAUACAUAUGCCAAUUCCAUGACGUCACCACAGAAGUCCCUCACUGGUGAGACGUCUCAUCCAGAGAUGCACAAGCGGAUUGAACAGCACACAAU
Long non-coding RNA from Cynoglossus semilaevis (tongue sole), 328 nucleotides. RefSeq lists it as uncharacterized. The record is from RefSeq and is a predicted model, not a curated record. NCBI's taxonomy places the organism in Eukaryota, Metazoa, Chordata, Actinopteri, Pleuronectiformes, Cynoglossidae. The transcript is spliced from 2 exons.